UAGCUUGACUGGAGCUAUUGGCUUUGAAUUGUAUUGUGGAAAUGUAUUACCAACAGAGGUGCAGGUGCCAGCCUAUUGAAAUAAAGCGUCAAUGAGGGUGAGAAUCCUGUUUGUCAUGUGCAGCCCUUUGUGCACGGUGUAUAUUUGCUGAGUCACACUCCUUGGCAUUGGAAUGCAAAGUGGGUGGUAAGUUUCAUGUAAAGGUAAACAUGCAAUUGAGACUGAUAGCACACAAGUACCAUGAGGGAAAUAUGAAAAGGACUUUGAGAAUUAGUUGUAUUUGCUGAACACAAAGUAAACAGACUUGAUUUGCUUGGUGGGAGUGUUGCACUUGCUUGACAAGAGCUUUGGGCUGUGGGUGUAAUGAUUCUUUCUUUGCAUGCCAGUUUCUAUUUGUACAUCUGAUUACCUUUGCACAUGAAUGAUAAGUCUCCUGUGGGGGUGGAUUGCAUGUGCAUGUAAUGAUUUGUGUUUUGAUAAAUGUGUCUGGUGUAUGUGUGUGUUCCUGUGCUUGGGGAUGCUUCCUUCCUUGGACUUACAAGCCCUGACACACACAUGCUGGCAAAAUGCUUCUGCUUGACCCGUCUUGAAACACGACCAAGGAGUCUAACAGAUGUGCACAGUUUGAAGGUGGUAUACCUUUGUGUGCAAUGAAUAUGUGCACCAGCACCCAAUAAUUAGCUGACAGAGGUUUGAGCAUAUCUAUUAGGACCGAAAGAUAACUAUGCCUGAACAGAAUAAUU
This 743-nucleotide ribosomal RNA is filed under the name Alexandrium catenella. RNAcentral describes it as "partial large subunit ribosomal RNA". It matches the Rfam family "Eukaryotic large subunit ribosomal RNA", at positions 117 to 851 of the family's 3401-position model. Lineage: Eukaryota; Dinophyceae; Gonyaulacales; Pyrocystaceae. The record is from RNAcentral.